This 378-nucleotide ribosomal RNA is filed under the name Triticum aestivum (bread wheat). Its description in RNAcentral is "partial small subunit ribosomal RNA". The record is from RNAcentral. Lineage: Eukaryota; Viridiplantae; Streptophyta; Magnoliopsida; Poales; Poaceae.
AUGUGCAACACGCGAAGAAACGUUUUUCUUCAAUCCAUGAAGACUAACACUCUAAGUGUGAAGAAAUUAACGAAGAAUUUGAUUCUCAGAACCCUCCGACAAUUGUACGCGGUGUCUGAAAUCAUCAUUCUUAUACGGUGGGUCACGCCACCAUCAAAAGUUGAAAAUCUUCAAUUUGAGUUUUUUUUCCUCAUUUUUGAAAUUCCUCAGUUGUUCAAAUUCUUCAACUUUGCAAUGUCUUCACUCUUUCCGAUGUUGUUCUUUGUUGGCUAUGUAUAUAUGAGUUUAUGUCCUCUACAACAUUCACUUAUUGCUAUUUCUUCAAGAUGCUUUUUCCUGCUAAGUGAAUGUGAUCGGACCCUUCCCCCUCUAUGCUAA